This 73-nucleotide transfer RNA is filed under the name Cordylochernes scorpioides. RNAcentral's name for it is "tRNA-Thr". The record is from RNAcentral. Lineage: Eukaryota; Metazoa; Arthropoda; Arachnida; Pseudoscorpiones; Chernetidae.
GUCCAAGGAUGGGAAUCAAACACACAGUGUUCCGCUUACAAGGCAGAUACCAUGUCCACUAGGCUACCCUGGA